Molecule: ribosomal RNA, 253 nt
Filed under: uncultured bacterium
Lineage: Bacteria
Description: partial 16S ribosomal RNA
Rfam family: Bacterial small subunit ribosomal RNA
Source: RNAcentral
UACAGAGGGGGCAAGCGUUGUUCGGAAUUACUGGGCGUAAAGGGCGCGUAGGCGGCCUUCUAAGUCGGACGUGAAAUCCCUCGGCUUAACCGAGGAACUGCGUCCGAUACUGAAAGGCUUGAAUCCGGGAGAGGGAUGUGGAAUUCCAGGUGUAGCGGUGAAAUGCGUAGAUAUCUGGAGGAACACCGGUGGCGAAGGCGGCAUCCUGGACCGGUAUUGACGCUGAGGCGCGAAAGCUAGGGGAGCAAACGGG